This 347-nucleotide ribosomal RNA is filed under the name uncultured Streptococcus sp. Its description in RNAcentral is "bacterial SSU rRNA". It matches the Rfam family "Bacterial small subunit ribosomal RNA", at positions 1032 to 1382 of the family's 1533-position model. Lineage: Bacteria; Bacillati; Bacillota; Bacilli; Lactobacillales; Streptococcaceae. The record is from RNAcentral.
UGACAGGUGGUGCAUGGUUGUCGUCAGCUCGUGUCGUGAGAUGUUGGGUUAAGUCCCGCAACGAGCGCAACCCUGUCUUAGUUGCCAGCAUUCAGUUGGGCACUCUAGCGAGACUGCCGGUAAUAAACCGGAGGAAGGUGGGGAUGACGUCAAAUCAUCAUGCCCCUUAUGACCUGGGCUACACACGUGCUACAAUGGUUGGUACAACGAGUUGCGAGUCGGUGACGGCGAGCUAAUCUCUUAAAGCCAAUCUCAGUUCGGAUUGCAGGCUGCAAUUCGCCUGCAUGAAGUCGGAAUCGCUAGUAAUCGCAGGUCAGCAUACUGCGGUGAAUACGUUCCCGGGCCUU